AUUGAACGCUGGCGGCAUGCCUUACACAUGCAAGUCGAACGGUAACGCGGGGCAACCUGGCGACGAGUGGCGAACGGGUGAGUAAUGCAUCGGAACGUGCCCAGUAGUGGGGGAUAGCCCGGCGAAAGCCGGAUUAAUACCGCAUACGACCUACGGGUGAAAGGGGGGGAUCGCAAGACCUCUCGCUAUUGGAGCGGCCGAUGUCAGAUUAGGUAGUUGGUGGGGUAAAGGCCUACCAAGCCGACGAGCUGUAGCUGGUCUGAGAGGACGACCAGCCACACCGGGAGUGGGACACGGCCCAGACUCCUACGGGAGGAAGCCGGGGGGAAUUUUGGACAAUGGGCGCAAGCCUGAUCCAGCCAUGCCGCGUGCGGGAAGAAGGCCUUCGGGUUGUAAACCGCUUUUGUCAGGGAAGAAACGCGCUGAGCUAAUACCUCGGCGUAAUGACGGUACCUGAAGAAUAAGCACCGGCUAACUACGUGCCAGCCGCCGCCGUAA
RNAcentral lists this ribosomal RNA (498 nucleotides) under uncultured bacterium. Its description in RNAcentral is "partial 16S ribosomal RNA". It matches the Rfam family "Bacterial small subunit ribosomal RNA", at positions 29 to 523 of the family's 1533-position model. The record is from RNAcentral.